Molecule: small nuclear RNA, 185 nt
Organism: Dermacentor silvarum
Lineage: Eukaryota; Metazoa; Arthropoda; Arachnida; Ixodida; Ixodidae
Product: U2 spliceosomal RNA
Exons: 1
Source: RefSeq, a predicted model, not a curated record
ACAUGUUCUACGCGGGUCAAAAUGUAGUAUCCAUCCUUAUGAGCUUGAUAUCUGAUACGGGUUGUAUUUUGACGCAAGAUAUUAAACUUACUUUUGUGAGGUGGCGAAGUGCUUGAAGCCUCCUUCAGCUCCGUCGCAGCUCGGCCCGGUAUUGCAAGAUGUUCGGGAUUUUCAGUUUAUGCUUU